RNAcentral lists this ribosomal RNA (253 nucleotides) under uncultured bacterium. RNAcentral's name for it is "partial 16S ribosomal RNA". It matches the Rfam family "Bacterial small subunit ribosomal RNA", at positions 524 to 776 of the family's 1533-position model. The record is from RNAcentral.
UACAGAGGGUGCAAGCGUUAAUCGGAAUUACUGGGCGUAAAGAGCUCGUAGGCGGUUUGUUGCGUCGGCUGUGAAAUCCCGAGGCUCAACCUCGGGUCUGCAGUCGAUACGAGCAAACUAGAGUGUUGCAGGGGAGACUGGAAUUCCUGGUGUAGCGGUGAAAUGCGCAGAUAUCAGGAGGAACACCGGUGGCGAAGGCGGAUCUCUGGGCCAUUACUGACGCUGAGGAGCGAAAGCGUGGGGAGCGAACAGG